GGAGAUAGCUCAGUUGGUAGAAUGCUUGCCUUGCAUGCACAAGGCCCUGGGUUGGAUCCCCAGUACCA
Molecule: transfer RNA, 68 nt
Filed under: Marmota monax (woodchuck)
Lineage: Eukaryota; Metazoa; Chordata; Mammalia; Rodentia; Sciuridae
Description: tRNA.Ala
Source: RNAcentral